GAUCCAGGAUUCCGCCCGAAGCCGUCUCCAGCGAGCGUAAGCGCGGGCAAAAGCCUCUUGAGUGGCGUCGAGCGCCUCGUCGCGAUCGCCGCUAAAGGCAAGGACGGCGCGAAAGACAAGAGGAAACUCGCUCUGAUAGAAGUCCUCGAAGUCCUCGACUUCGCCCACACUGGCUCCGCUCUAUGACUACUAGAGUGUCCUAUCC
This 205-nucleotide unclassified non-coding RNA is filed under the name uncultured bacterium. RNAcentral's name for it is "contains 16S-23S intergenic spacer region". The record is from RNAcentral.